CCCUUCCCUUAAGGGGGCUCCUGCCUUAAGCACGGCGCGUGGGCGGGUCUCCGAAGCCUGCAGCCCCUCCCUCCCCGCCUCUGCCACCUGUCGCGCGACUCUUCAAUUUUCUCCCUUGGGCCUCUUUCCUGGGCCUAAACCAAUCUCUCUAAUAUAGUUGAGGACGAGUGCAGACGUGUUUUAUUAUUGUUGUUGUUUUACCUGAGUUCGAAUUCAGCCAAUGUCCCUUACAAGUUGGACGGCAUUGGGCGCGCUUCUAGAAGCCUCAUUUUGUAAAUAAGAACAGCAGCACUCACCUCCCAGAGUGCUGUGAGGAGUAUAGAGCGGUAGUGCAAUGUGCUAACACUGAGCUGCUCUCAGAACUCAGCCAAAGGACAUGGAGCCCUGCUCCACCUCCACCUUACUGCCUUGAGCGGAGGAAAUGGUCCCCCUCUUCACAGCCUCCUCUGAACUGGUUCUGUGUGGCUGAGACCCUAUCAACUGCCAGCUCCCCAUACUUGGAGCAAGUUGAUUGAAGAGCUGGAUUUAACUCUGAAGAGGACAAAUUCAUGAGCUAGACUUUGGAGACCAGAAAAGGCCUUGGGACGUUAUCUGAUGAAUUCUCCAUUCUCCUGUCAUCAGCUAUUGAAAAUGCAUUCAUCUAGUUGGAAGCCACACCAGGUAAGGAAUCGGAGGCACAGAGGUUUUAGUACCUUGCCCAAAGUCACCUAGCUCGUAAGUGAUGGAGUCAGAAUUUUCAUGGAGCCUAAAUUUCUGAACCCAGCAUCAAGGCUCUUCCCAACUGGACCACAGCCUUCCUUAAUGUUCUCAAAACACUCUCCUCCUCAUCGCGACCACCCUUGAGAACUUCGGACUACGCACCAUGCAGGUUCUUGCCUUUGUUUCUUGCUUUCCAAUGUGAUUUGGUGCAUGCAUGCGUAGUCGGGAAUCUUACGCGCCCAAAGUGACGUUCAGCCUCUGUUCCAGAUUCCAGAGGAGCUUCCUGCCAUAGCACUAUGACUAUGGAUAAGUGUUUGGAGAUAUGUUUCAUCAUAAUUACUCUCAUUUACACUGACAAUGAGCAUUGAAUAAAAUUGCUAAAUUUUA
Mustela erminea (ermine) is the source of this 1086-nucleotide long non-coding RNA. RefSeq lists it as uncharacterized. The transcript has 7 exons. Lineage: Eukaryota; Metazoa; Chordata; Mammalia; Carnivora; Mustelidae. The record is from RefSeq and is a predicted model, not a curated record.